GGGUCAGUAGGUUGGUCGUGCCACCGGUACGUACUGGUCUCACUGAUUCCUCCUUCCUGAAGAACCGUAAUGCCAUUAAUUUGGUGUUGCGGGGAAACAGGACUUUUACUUUGAAAAAAUUAGAGUGUUUAAAGCAAGCUAACGCUUGAAUACAUUAGCAUGGAAUAAUGAAAUAGGACGAUCGAUCCUAUUUUGUUGGUUUCUAGGAUUGACGUAAUGAUUAAUAGGGAUAGUUUGAG
This 239-nucleotide ribosomal RNA is filed under the name Glomeromycotina sp. RNAcentral describes it as "partial small subunit ribosomal RNA". The stretch from base 40 to 239 matches the Rfam family "Eukaryotic small subunit ribosomal RNA", at positions 686 to 887 of the family's 1831-position model. Lineage: Eukaryota; Fungi; Glomeromycota. The record is from RNAcentral.